Molecule: long non-coding RNA, 263 nt
Filed under: Penaeus japonicus
Lineage: Eukaryota; Metazoa; Arthropoda; Malacostraca; Decapoda; Penaeidae
Description: uncharacterized LOC122264279
Source: RNAcentral
CGUUCGUGCAAGGGAGUCCCCCAUGCAUCCGCCAAGCAGCAUUGUUGAUGUUUAUAAAGCGGUGAGGAAAAGCAGCCGAAAGACAUUCCCACGGAUACAAAUAAGAACUAAUUAAUCAAAGACUGGGCUUGUUGGUUCAGAGAAAUGAUCUGGUGAUAGAACACCAAGGAUAUUGCUUAGCAUGUAUGGGAGACGUGAAGGAAGAGGAGGCUACCGAGAUGGUGGUGAUGGUGGCGGCUGGAGAGGAGAAAGUAGUGGAGGAG